Lepidothrix coronata (blue-crowned manakin) is the source of this 4134-nucleotide long non-coding RNA. RefSeq lists it as uncharacterized. Lineage: Eukaryota; Metazoa; Chordata; Aves; Passeriformes; Pipridae. The record is from RefSeq and is a predicted model, not a curated record. The transcript is spliced from 2 exons.
GCAACAUUUUGACUUCUCAUACUUUCUGCUAAACAAAGACAUUAGUAUCUCUGCUAUUACCAUUAAUCUUGGUACAAUUCCUUACAUUAAAAUCAUUAGUCUUAUCCCACUCAUUGAUGCAAGGAACCACUCAGUUUAUCUUUUAACAAAUAAGACUAAGAGUCCUCUUUACAAAGCAUAUUUAAACAUUAGUAUUAGAUCAUCCCCAAGGGUAUGUUGUUAUCUUCCAUCUUUACCUGAUUUCUUCACUUUGCCCAAGUGAUGUCCUUUGGUAGCCCAAGCACAAUUUUCUCAUCUUGAUAAUAAAAACGAGAGAAGAGCCAACAGGUUAAAAAAAAAACAAACAACAUAGUUUAAAUCAUGCUUGCUUCCACGGCGUGGAACAAAUAUUUGAAUGCAUAUCCUAGAUCAUUGCAUAUUUACCAAGCUACUGAAUAUUCUAGUGUCCUGUGGGAUCUGUUCCACAUUCUAUAAAUCAAUGUUUAUUGGACUAGAAGGGGAGAGAGAGAGAACUUAACUGUUCCUGUGGAGGCCAUCUGCACACAUUCUGCAGGUUCAUUUGUAAAAGCAGCUACAAGAGCCAUAAUUUUGGAAAGUAUCUAAAGAAAGUAGGUACAUAUAUAAAGGGGAAAAAAAUUAUGAAGCCUGAUGUUUACACCAGCAUCAGAAUGGAAGACAACAUAAAAGGCAGGAAUAAAACUUUAUUCAACAUAAAAAACAGAAAUGUUCAAAUGUUACAACUUCCAGCAAGAAAAUGAUUGAUGCAUUUUAUAUUUUUUAUCUCAGAUGCUGGGGAUACAAUUGAUCCCACCAAAGCAGUAAGAAAUCAUGGUACUGACUGAUAUGAGGAUGACCAGUCCUUCACUUCUUACACUUGUUGAUUCUGGAGGCCUGAAGCCAGAAAAAAAUGAUCAGCAGCAUCACGUGUGGUGGGAAGAUUUACCUUAAAAGCAGCAUUUCAGUACUGGGAUGAAGAGCAAUCAGGCUGCAAAAACUAGGAGAUUAUUUUCUGAGAAAGCUGUACACAUGGCAGGCUAAAGCAAUGCUCAGAAGGGCUUAAAAAUGCUCAUGUUGAAACAAUGAGCAUGAAAAUGGGACCAGCAGGAAGUUUGUGUUUGUCUAAUGAGCUGGGUUUAUUUAGCCCAUCCAAGGACUACUGAGCACACUGGAGACAUUGUACAGAGGAAGACAGGAGAACUGGGAAAUGUCCAAAAUUAGCAUUUAAGAGAUACAUACCCUGGCAGAAUACUAAUAGUUGUAAAAUGAACAUUUAACAUAUGGAUAAAGUAAUUACUGGUUCAAGAGUUCCCAUUAGAGAUAUAAUAGGAAAUGUAAAUUAAUAUGAGAGCAAAUACUACGCUAUAGAAGUGAAUAAAUGUACCAAAGGAGAGCUGGAGGCUUGAUCCAAACUGCUGGAUCAUCCAACCAAACCAGCAUUAAGGCAGCUACGUGGAGCAUUUGCACAGCUAUCAAGCAUCCUGACCAAACUAAAGGCAGUGGCACUGCAGAUCCUGCCCACAGCAGAGCAAAGCUGAGCGGAUCCAAGGCCCUGGAGGAGGCACGUGGUGGCCACAGGGUGAGCAGCGGCUCCAUGGGGGUCAGCUGUGGUGUGGGAUACAUGGACACCAGGAGAGAGGGAGGAGAGAGCCAGUCUGAGACACAGGAAAGGAUCAAAAUGUCAGUUGCUGGAGAAAUGGAGAGGAUGGGAAUGGAAGUCAGUGGUUCCAGGUCUUGAUUCUGUGCCAAAGAGGAAAAGGCACUCAGAAGUGGCCAACUGGUGCCACCUUCACAACCACAACACGGUGCAGGGUCAGGGCCAGCAUUUGUGGAUGACAAACAGCAAAAUGGAGCAAUUUUGUGAGGAAAGCCUUGAUAUUUAACAAGAAUAACAUUUAUAUGAAAAUGACAGCAGGCAGCUCUUCUCAUUAUUUAUAAUGUAAAACAGUCCUUUAGUUGUUAUUUACACUGAUUAUUCAAUUAUUCCUUGAAUACAGUGGAAAAGGUAAAGAUGAAAUUAAGAUGUCUUCAAAGCGUUUAAAUAUUUUGAAUUUUCAUAUUAUAAAUAUAAAUCUUAUUGAUAUUUUAAAUGCAAACUUUAAUUGCAUUUUAAUUUUAAAUGCAAAUCUAUAUUUAGAUUAUUUUCUCAAUUUCUACCUCACAAAAAAAAAAUAACAAAAACAUUAUGGACAGUUUUACAUGUUAAGAGAAACUUCCUUCCUCGUGCAUGUGAUGGUAUGUUUUUAAAUGUAUAAUUUCUGUAGCCAUUAAACAAAAUUGACUUAUUACACCAAUAACAGAGUAACAUAAUAAUUUAAAAUGUGUUUAAAAAUUAUUUACAUUUAUAAAAAUGUAUUUAAGCUGCCAUUAUUCCCUCAAAGCUUGCCCGUGGAACAAACUGUGUGCUAUGGACAGUCCUGUUGAUUUUGAUAAGCCCUGUGCCGUGCACGUUUCCACUGCAGGAAAUUCAAAAGCAAACCUACAGCCCCUGUAAGGAACCAUGGAGUCUCUCCUCCUGUCCAUUCCUUUCCAAUGCUGAAACUGCUCCCAGUUCUCCUCCCAAGGCUUCCACGGUAUCGUUGGUGAGAUGUCACCUUUUAUUAGCAGGCUCGCUCUCGGAUACUCUAAUGCACAUUGAAAACACAAAAUGCACAUCAUCCAUCUUUCAUGUGACAGCUGCAUCCCACCUUCUGAACUUCCAAGCUCCUGGCACACCUGGGUCAAGGCUCUGCUAAUAAAAUGAUGCCGAGUGACAGGGGGAGAGGGAGUCAACUGACUACAAGCAUUUGAUAAACUGUUACCUGCAAUUUCUUGGGUUUGUUGCCUCGGGCAAACGCACCAAAGAGGAAACAAGUCACUGCAAGCCCCGUUUGUCCAACUGGGUGAGUGGAGAGGAGGAUGAAAGGCAAUAUACUCCUGUUACUUACAGCUUUAUGAUUUUAAUCCAUUUUGUCAGGGAAAUACCUUCUGGUCCGUCGAGUAAUGUGAUAAACUAUUCAAACAAAGGGAAGAAUUAAUGUUUCUGUACUGCUGCUAUGUUUGUUAAUGUGAUUCUAUGAUUCUACUGUUUCAUGAGUUAUCAGAUGCACAGUGUUUCAGUUUAACCACUGAGGUUAUACUUGUAUCUAGAUACAGUCAUUUUUUAUAGUAAAUAAAUAAUAUAUUAAACACAGAAAACAAAUAAUUUGAUACAAUUAUUCAAAUUAUCUGAUGUAUACAUAUUAUUGACUCAUGAUAAUUGAGACUUAUUUUCUAAUAUUUUGAUAUAGACUUGUCUUAUUUUGAUUUGUUAGAUAAUUGCAAACUUUUAGAAGAGAAAUCUGUAGAUCCUUUGAAGUCAGACCUAUUUUAAGUCAACUGUUUUGGAAAACACUGUUCCAGCAUAGUGGUAGCCUAAUACAGUUCAGUCUGGUGAUGUAGAUGAGUGGAGCAUUUUCCCAAAACUUAAUUACAGUUCAGAAGUAUUGGAUGUUAUUAUGUACCUGGUGUGAGACUGAUGCUUGUUUUAAUUACUGCAGUGGUUACUGUGGUCAAAAUCCAUGUUUGCAAAGGCAAAGGAGAAAGAGCUUUUCAGAGUUUCCAGAAGAACCCACAGACCUGAAUUUUUAUGUGCAGCAGAAGACACAGAAAAAAAGGGAAACAAAAACCUGGCAUUGGAAAGGUUCAAGCGGGCUGACCAUAAAAAGAGGCAAACAUGCAUUUUCUUGUUUUGGUUCUUCCCUCAUCCCUGCACACAUCUACAUCUAUGCUUGGAUUUGUAUUUUGAGACUGCAAGGGGCAGAAGGCGAGAGAUUUAUUCCAACAUGCUGUGCCAAAUCCCCAGUACAGUGCUGAGCAACUGGGACUAGUCAGGCUGGGAAUUAAUUGGUUGCUAAAAACAAUAAAAGAUGGGAGUACUUUUACAAGACAUCUAACAUGCUGACUGUAUAAAAUUAGGCUGGAAUGACAUUAAUAAAGCAAGCUCUCAAGUGUCAAGAAUGAAAGAAGGUCAGACAUUCUGCACUGAGGAAAUCUAGAUCUCACCAGAGGGGACAUCCACUGUCGUUAUUCUGUUUUGUCUUCACAACAACUUUGUAGCCAGACAGGAAAAAAAAAAAAGCCAAGGGAUAUGCUUGAGAGUUGAAAGACUGAUUAGGG